GAUGCUCCGGUUGACCCUGAGCUGAUCUGAAACAUCAAAGGGAACCGCUCUGAUCAGAGGAAUUCGUUUCGUUCGCUAUGACUAUAAUGGCUGGAUACUCGCCGAGACUCGACGUCUCAAGGAUAGAAUACCGUAGCUGCAGCCAUCCGUUAUUUCCUCUGGAUCAACGAGCCUUGAUAUUAUAUGCGAGAGAUCGCGGUCGAACCGGUUUUGAUGACGUUGCGGUUCGAUCGUUCGUACGAUUUAAUGGUGUCAAAGUCAUCGUAUAAGCGAUCGUCCGGUUGAUCCGGUGGCGGUGAUCUUGAUUACGGACGAUCAAUUAUAGAAGAGACUGGUUUCGCGGAAUAUACACGGAUUACGAGCGUAGCGCGGCGGAUUUUCAAAACUCUCUACAAAUGUCGCUGUUGCGGCUGCCGCCGCCGCCGCCGCCGAUGAUGAUGAUGAUAUACGACGCGAGACGAGGGAAUCGCGUCCUCGAGGACGACCGAGGAAGAAGUCGUCUUCGCCUAUCGUCGAUGCCACGGGGAACGUCACGGAACCACCGAAGGACGAUUUCCCGCUUUACGUUUAGAGGUCGAAGCGUAACGCAGCGUCGCUACCAGUUGCACGCGCAGCUGCUGCGAACAGAUUCUUGCGCACCGUCCGAUCGCGUCGGUUUCGCCAACGAUACAUCGCGAGCGAUACCUACGCGUGUCGUGUGCGAGUGGGCAGGAAUGUGGUUGUAUGUAGCCCGAAGUAACCUACACGAGAAAGCAGAUGCUUAGACUCGAUACGUCGUUCCGCCCUACCACGAGUACGUGAACGUAGGUACGCACAUAUAUACAUACCACACCGUUCCAUAACGAUCGAUCUUUACACUUCAUCCGACGCCUGUAUGUAUAAUAUUUUUAGAUGCCACUUGCCGUUCCGUGCUGCUGCUGCUGCCGCUCCGGCGAGAAAUUCUCUUUUUUACUUUGUUUCUUUUUCUUUUUUUUUUUCAUCCAGGUAAAAAAUAAAGAUAAAAAUGAAACGGUAGUAACUUGUCAACGUAUAACGCACACGCUCAACCGACGGCUUAGAAACGACCGACUCAACUCCGGUGUACGUACGUAGCGUAAUAUAAUUUCACUUCGUGCGUCGGAAUAUCAUCCCGACUCUCUACGGUGUUACAGAUAUACUUUGCGCC
Athalia rosae (coleseed sawfly) is the source of this 1165-nucleotide long non-coding RNA. RefSeq lists it as uncharacterized. NCBI's taxonomy places the organism in Eukaryota, Metazoa, Arthropoda, Insecta, Hymenoptera, Athaliidae. The record is from RefSeq and is a predicted model, not a curated record. The transcript is spliced from 5 exons.